AUAAUUUGGCAGCACAUAGACUAAACUUGCAACAAUACACAGAAGACUAGCAUGGUCCCUGUGCAAGGAUGACACAAAACUUAGUAAAGUGUUCCAAAUAUUC
Small nuclear RNA from Stegostoma tigrinum, 103 nucleotides. The record is from RefSeq and is a predicted model, not a curated record. Lineage: Eukaryota; Metazoa; Chordata; Chondrichthyes; Orectolobiformes; Stegostomatidae.